RNAcentral lists this ribosomal RNA (489 nucleotides) under uncultured bacterium. RNAcentral describes it as "partial 16S ribosomal RNA". It matches the Rfam family "Bacterial small subunit ribosomal RNA", at positions 28 to 507 of the family's 1533-position model. The record is from RNAcentral.
GACGAACGCUGGCGGCGUGCUUAACACAUGCAAGUCGAACGGUGAAGGGAUCAGCUUGCUGGUUCUGGAUGAGUGGCGAACGGGUGAGUAACACGUGAGUAACCUGCCCCCUUCUUCUGGAUAACCGCAUGAAAGUGUGGCUAAUACGGGAUAUUCUGCGCCUGCUGCAUGGUGGGUGUGGGAAAGAUAUUGUUUCGGUGGGGGAUGGGCUCGCGGCCUAUCAGCUUGUUGGUGGGGUGAUGGCCUACCAAGGCGGUGACGGGUAGCCGGCCUGAGAGGGGGGACGGUCACACUGGGACUAAGACACGGCCCAGACUCCUACGGGAGGCAGCAGUGGGGAAUAUUGCACAAUGGGCGCAAGCCUGAUGCAGCGACGCCGCGUGAGGGAUGGAGGCCUUCGGGUUGUGAACCUCUUUCGCCAGUGAAGCAGGCCUGUCCCUUGUGGGUGGGUUGACGGUAGCUGGAUAAGAAGCGCCGGCUAACUACGUG